CCGUGCACGUAAAACUGCGGGACAAGAUAUCUUUGACUCAUUAAAACUGUCUUUUGUUACAACUGAAAUCCACUCUGUCCAGCGUCCGUGAUUUGGUCUCAACUCUCCAAUAUUUAAACACUAACAAUGUCGGCAUUUAUACAAUUUUUACCGGCAUUUCAUGUUUCCAUAAACCGAGUCGUCACUUUUUGUUCAUGCGCCAUGUAAUUCAUCUUCAUGAAAUUGUCUGAUGGAAACGUGGUUAGUGACCUCCGAACAAACAAAUAUUUUCGUGGGCGGAGAAAAACCUCUCGCUUCGCCUCUUUCGUCUCUGACUACACUCAGUAGAACGUUUGGUAGCGUUGUGACAGACGCUGUGUUCAGUCUAAAGACAUGCAAGUACUGACAAGGUUUCUUGCCAAUUUUACGUUUUAAAAGUAUGCCAACAGCAAUCGCAACCUCCAAGUCGUUUAAAUACUUUACCAUAAGAACUUCAGAGUAAAGACGGCAAUGGAAAGGUGGAAUAGUCACGUGCGCGCUGGACUGUUCCAGAGAGAUUGUACACAAAAUGACCCAUUCACUGGUGUCUUCAACACCUGUAAAUUGUCAGUUAUCUGUGGAUUUAUUACAUUUGAAUAAUGAGUUAUUUGUGAAUAUAAUUUGCCAACAUGUUGUGAUUGUCUCUUUUCAGUGUCCAAAUUAGCAGAGCGGCUUGAUUUAAGGGAGACAUUUUGGGAUGAGUUACAGAGACCCAGUUCUGAAGGAUAUGGUGGAAUGACAGCUGACCACAGAGAAUUACACCUCAUCCUCAGAGAGAGGAUACAUAUAACAGAAAAGCUCUCUCGGACAGUUUCUGACCUGACCACCCUCAUGUACCUGAAAGAAGCAGAGCUUCAAUACUGCCACUCACAAGUCUCCCGCUAUCAGAAGGAAGCUGUCACUCAAGCUAGGGGGGCCAACAUUCUGCAGGCCAGCCUAUCAGAGCGUUAGUUUGAAUUGGAGACCCAAUCAAAGGAGUUGGCAGUCCUGCGGUUGGAGCAGCGGGAGUUGAGGGGCUUGCAGCGGCCUGGAGAGAGAAAGAGGGGCUUCUGGAGAGAUGGAUGGAUGAGAAGGAGGCGGCGGCAGAGAGGGUGUACAGGCACAAUGAGGGACAGGAAAGAUGGUGUCGUUUCACCCAUCGGCUCAACAAGCACCUCCGUAGAACGAUGCUGCGACCAGGUGAGCAGACCAACUCCUGGAUGACUGGUAGGCCUUCAAAGAACCAGUAACUGCCAUACAGAGAGACACACAAACAGACACAGAACACACAGCAGUGUCAGGCACUUGCUUGCGUCCCAACUAAUAUCAAGGUCUGCUUUGCCCAGAGGAGGAUGGUGCACACUGCCCAGGGUGGACCUUGACACAUUUUCCCAAAACUUCCUGUACUAAAACAGACCUUGAAUGUGGCUCAAAUGUUGUUUUUUUUAACAUGUUUAUCUAUUGAAAGAUAUUGAUUUGAAUCAAUGUAUCUAUAGGUAAAGCUAAUUAUAAACCAAACUGUAAUACAGUUGUGAAUUUCAGAUACUGUAUGUACAGGCUUAUUUAAGUGAGUACCUAAGACCUAACUCAAUGUUUUAUCAUUAACCGUUUUAAAAUACUAUGAGCAAUAAAGUAAACCUUCUGUCAUGUUUUUCACUUCACUUAGACACCACUCUGUCCUGUGACUGCUUCCUGUUUUUAUGUGCG
Molecule: long non-coding RNA, 1704 nt
Organism: Oncorhynchus tshawytscha (Chinook salmon)
Lineage: Eukaryota; Metazoa; Chordata; Actinopteri; Salmoniformes; Salmonidae
Exons: 6
Source: RefSeq, a predicted model, not a curated record